Molecule: ribosomal RNA, 253 nt
Filed under: uncultured bacterium
Lineage: Bacteria
Description: partial 16S ribosomal RNA
Rfam family: Archaeal small subunit ribosomal RNA
Source: RNAcentral
UACCAGCACCCCGAGUGGUCGGGACGAUUAUUGGGCCUAAAGCAUCCGUAGCCGGUUCUACAAGUCUUCCGUUAAAUCCACCUGCUUAACAGAUGGGCUGCGGAGGAUACUCUGGAGCUAGGAGGCGGGAGAGGCAAGCGGUACUUAGUGGGUAGGGGUAAAAUCCGUUGAUCCAUUGAAGACCACCAGUGGCGAAGGCGGCUUGCCAGAACGCACUCGACGGUGAGGGAUGAAAGCUGGGGGAGCAAACCGG